AUGUGAUAAUGCACACAUACUAAAAAUUUGGACCCAUCCAGAGAAGAUCAGCAUGGCCCCCGCACAAGGAUGACACGCAGGAACACGUGAUACUUCUGUGGUUG
This is a small nuclear RNA of Zalophus californianus (California sea lion), 104 nucleotides long. The record is from Ensembl. Lineage: Eukaryota; Metazoa; Chordata; Mammalia; Carnivora; Otariidae.